This 253-nucleotide ribosomal RNA is filed under the name uncultured bacterium. RNAcentral describes it as "partial 16S ribosomal RNA". It matches the Rfam family "Bacterial small subunit ribosomal RNA", at positions 524 to 776 of the family's 1533-position model. The record is from RNAcentral.
GACAGAGGAUGCAAGCGUUAUCCGGAAUGAUUGGGCGUAAAGCGUCUGUAGGUGGCUUUUUAAGUCUGCCGUCAAAUCCCAGGGCUUAACCCUGGACAGGCGGUGGAAACUACCAAGCUGGAGUACGGUAGGGGCAGAGGGAAUUUCCGGUGGAGCGGUGAAAUGCGCAGAUAUCAGGAGGAACACCGAUGGCGAAGGCAGGUCUCUGGGCCACUACUGACGCUGAGAAGCGAAAGCAUGGGGAGCGAACAGG